GAUGAACGCUGGCGGCGUGCUUAACACAUGCAAGUCGAACGAGGUCCAUGGUGCUUGCACCGGACGACCUAGUGGCGAACGGGUGCGUAACACGUGAGAAACCUGCCCCGAACUCUGGGAUAACAGUUGGAAACGACUGCUAAUACCGGAUGCCAUCACAUGAUCGCAUGGUCGAGUGAUGAAAGAUUUAUCGGUUCGGGAGGGUCUCGCGGCCUAUCAGCUAGUUGGAGAGGUAACGGCUCACCAAGGCAUCGACGGGUAGCUGGUCUGAGAGGAUGAUCAGCCACACUGGGACUGAGACACGGCCCAGACUCCUACGGGAGGCAGCAGUGGGGAAUCUUGCACAAUGGGCGAAAGCCUGAUGCAGCAACGCCGCGUGCGGGAAGAAGGCCCUAGGGUUGUAAACCGCUUUCAGUAGGGAAGAAAAUGACGGUACCUACAGAAGAAGGUGCGGCCAACUACGUGCCAGCAGCCGCGG
This 478-nucleotide ribosomal RNA is filed under the name uncultured bacterium. RNAcentral's name for it is "bacterial SSU rRNA". It matches the Rfam family "Bacterial small subunit ribosomal RNA", at positions 28 to 520 of the family's 1533-position model. The record is from RNAcentral.